Molecule: transfer RNA, 75 nt
Filed under: bacterium
Lineage: Bacteria
Description: tRNA-Asn
Rfam family: tRNA
About the family: Transfer RNA (tRNA) molecules are approximately 80 nucleotides in length. Their secondary structure includes four short double-helical elements and three loops (D, anti-codon, and T loops).
Source: RNAcentral
UCCUCGGUAGCUCAAUGGUAGAGCGGCUCCCUGUUAAGGAGAUGGUUGUAGGUUCGAAUCCUACCCGAGGAGCCA